GUCCAGGGAGCAAUUGGAAGCAAAAGCAUAUGACAAAGGAGGACAGAAGAACAGUAGGUACUUUUGCCAAAGGAGAUUUGCCCAGAACUAUAGAUAGGUUUUGCCAAAGGAGAUUUGCCCAGAACUAUAGGUAUGUAGGUUUCCCAAAGGAGAUGUGCCCAGAACUAUAGGUAUGUAGGUUUUGCCAAAGGAGAUUUGCCCUCAAACUAGGAAUUGCUUCUCACAGAAGAUAAUUCCCAGAGAGGAAAGUCCAAUUGAAAGAUGCGUUUACUUUCAAUAAUCACCAGACAUAAGUAGUCAUCAGAGAAUAUG
Molecule: long non-coding RNA, 312 nt
Filed under: Brachypodium distachyon (stiff brome)
Lineage: Eukaryota; Viridiplantae; Streptophyta; Magnoliopsida; Poales; Poaceae
Description: long non-coding RNA (BDIS_LNC001812)
Source: RNAcentral